AAUGAACGCUGGCGGCAGGCCUAACACAUGCAAGUCGAAUGGAUCCUUCGGGAUUAGUGGCGGACGGGUGAGUAACGCGUGGGAACAUACCCUUUGGUACGGAAUAGCCUCGGGAAACUGGGAGUAAUACCGUAUGUGGUCGAGAGACGAAAGAUUUAUCGCCAAAGGAUUGGCCCGCGUUGGAUUAGGUAGUUGGUGGGGUAAUGGCCUACCAAGCCGACGAUCCAUAGCUGGUUUGAGAGGAUGAUCAGCCACGCUGGGACUGAGACACGGCCCAGACUCCUACGGGAGGCAGCAGUGGGGAAUCUUAGACAAUGGGGGAAACCCUGAUCUAGCCAUGCCGCGUGAUCGAUGAAGGCCUUAGGGUUGUAAAGAUCUUUCAGGUGGGAAGAUAAUGACUGUACCACCAGAAGAAGCCCCGGCUAACUCCGUGCCAGCAGCCGCGGUAA
Molecule: ribosomal RNA, 449 nt
Filed under: uncultured bacterium
Lineage: Bacteria
Description: partial 16S ribosomal RNA
Rfam family: Bacterial small subunit ribosomal RNA
Source: RNAcentral